GAGAUGGAAAGGAGCUGCCCUCACUUUCCUGGUACUUGAGAAGAUCUCGUUACAAAUCAGGCUUCCAUGGCUGUGUAAACUAAGGAGAUGUCUCAUCCAUAACAGUCCGAUGGGGCCUUGAGUCCUCCCACUAGGGCUCUAAGGAAAGAUUAUUACAGUUUAAGCAACCAGGACAAUCAGAAAACCAGGAUUCUGUAGCUUCCCUCCCUGCACUCCCUCCCUCCCUCUUGCCCCUCCCCAACACCUCCAAUUUCUCUGAGUGAAGCCGGCUUAGCAUUAAGCUAUGACUCAUACAAACCAAGAGCUGAGCCAGGGGCCAGGCUGCCAGAAUCACUCCUCAGCUGAUGACAAGCCUACCCAGAAGCUGGGCCCUCACCCAUAGCAGACACAAUGGUACAAAGGUUUUGGACCUUUAGAGUCUACAGUGUAACAAACAUUCCCUGGGGAAGAGGAGGGAGGGAGAGAGGGAGAGGGGAGGGAGGGAAGAAAAGAAAGCAAUUGAAAGGAACUCAAACGGUAAAACCUAUAGGUAGCUACCAACCUAGCAGGUGGCUGGAGUUGUCAAAAAGACCAUAAGGACCAAUGGGAUCACUUAGCAAUUCUCUUCUACGGGAUCCUAAUGUGACAUGGAGAAGGUCCUCCCAGUCAGAAACAGAGGUAGAAGUAAAUACUUAUGCACACACACAUACGCACAUACUCCCUCACACAUGCACACACACACACACACACACACACACACACAGCCAUAGAAGAAGCCACGAUGAAGUGCAAAGGCCUUGAAGUACAGUGCAGCCUAGGGAGAAAUUAUUGGCAGCAGGAACAGGGGCUUCUGAGUUGCAGAGCAAGGCAAUCAUGUCAGUCAUUUGAACUAUGCCCUUGCUAGUAUCUCAUCUUUCUUACUUCAUGGACCAUCUUCUCAUCCAUCUUACAAAUUCCCCCCAAACUUUAGUAAAUCCAAAAUGUCAACCCUGUCUGCUCCUUCCCCAGGAGCACAAAAGUACCACUUGGCAAAAAUACUCCAGUUGUAGGGAUGGAACCAUUCUGAAUACACUGGGGCAUCAGCAUGGUCUCUUGGAAUACCUACAGGCUUAACACUUCCAGCUCUCCAACAUGAUCCAACUUCACAAAGCAAGAAAGCGAAACACUAGAUGGUAACACCCUCUGUCCUAAUCUUCAAGUUCAUUGAGUGUAUGUCCUUCCAUCUUUAUCCCUUACCUCUUGUGACUACUUUCAUAUUUUCACUUCAUAUAUCUAACCUCCAGCCUGACUGCCUUCCAGCUCUUCUCACUGUCCUCAGGGACCUCACAUCUCUACUCUCCCCUCUCUCUCCAGGUCCUCUCAUGUCUUCCUUUG
Perognathus longimembris pacificus (Pacific pocket mouse) is the source of this 1353-nucleotide long non-coding RNA. RefSeq lists it as uncharacterized. NCBI's taxonomy places the organism in Eukaryota, Metazoa, Chordata, Mammalia, Rodentia, Heteromyidae. The transcript is spliced from 3 exons. The record is from RefSeq and is a predicted model, not a curated record.